Molecule: ribosomal RNA, 366 nt
Filed under: uncultured bacterium
Lineage: Bacteria
Description: bacterial SSU rRNA
Rfam family: Bacterial small subunit ribosomal RNA
Source: RNAcentral
CACGCUGUAAACGAUGAUUACUCGAUGUUGGCGAUACACAGUCAGCGUCUGAGCGAAAGCAAUAAGUAAUCCACCUGGGGAGUACGAUCGCAAGAUUGAAACUCAAAGGAAUUGACGGGGGCCCGCACAAGCGGAGGAGCAUGUGGUUUAAUUCGAUGAUACGCGAGGAACCUUACCUGGGCUCGAACGUAAGAUGACUGUAGGUGAAAGCUUACAUCUCUUCGGAGCAUUUUACGAGGUGCUGCAUGGUUGUCGUCAGCUCGUGCCGUGAGGUGUCGGGUUAAGUCCCAUAACGAGCGCAACCCCUACCUUUAGUUGCCAUCAGGUAAUGCUGGGGACUCUAAAGGAACUGCCUACGCAAGUAGU